RNAcentral lists this non-coding RNA (27 nucleotides) under Homo sapiens (human). The record is from RNAcentral. Lineage: Eukaryota; Metazoa; Chordata; Mammalia; Primates; Hominidae.
UUCUGAGCUACAUCUCGGGUUUGGGGU